CUGCGGGCAUAAGACUUAGCGGGUGCAAAAGAAGACGUCUUUCUAAUUUGUCUAUUAUGUUCAAAAGCAAAGCUCUUUAAUACAUUAAGCAUGGUUACUUUAUUGGUUUGUUAGCCAUGUAUUGGAUGUUAUGUUUGCAGCAUGCCCAGUUUCCACUCGUAUAGUCCGUGAACUAUCAGCACGAUGACCAUUACUUUGUCUUCCCUUAACAAUGCAGCAUAGAGAGACGCCGACUGUGGUGCGUCGAACAACAAAACUGGAUACAGGAGUGGCACAGUAUCAUCUUUUCAGAUGAGUCCCGUUUCUGUGUGCAGCAUUCUGAUUGCCAUAUACGUAAUUUGAAAUUUUUCAAUGUAAUUUGAAUUUGGUAAUUUGAAUGCAGAUCGUAACAUUUCUGACAUCUUACGUCCAGUGGUUGUGCCCUAUCUUCAAGGCCUGCCAAAUGCCAUCUUCCAAGAAGAUAAUGUAAGACCACAUGUUACAAGUUCUGUUCCGACCUUUCUCCAUACACAGGGUAUUCGAUUGCUGCCCUGGCCAGCACGGUCUCCAGAUCUGUUACCCAUUGAAAACAUCUGGUCAUGGGCUGAUAAGAGACUGGCUCGCCAAUACGGUUGAUGAAGUGUGUCAUAAGCUUGAAGCAGCAUGGAAUGAGUUAGCCGUUUCUGUCAUCCAAGCCCAGUUUGACUCCAUGCCUAACCAAUUGUUGAGGAUCAUUGUUGAUGAAAGAACUAAGGAAAAUAUAUUCAUAAGAGAAAAAGGCAUGAUAAAGAGUAAUAUCAAAGUAACUUCAUCUUAGAGUCUUAGAUCUUGCUUCAUAGAUGUCCUUUCUGGCACUAAUAAUGAUUUUUAGAAAAUAGACAUAAUUUCUUGUUCAGUUAGAAAGUUCUAUUGAGACUAUGAUGACAAAAUUUCAAAACCUGAGGAUAUAUUUUUGUAAAGAAAGGGAAAAGGCAAAGUGAAACAAGGAUCCACUGGAUUUGUACCCAAGUGGGAACGUUAUGUACACCUCCAGAUUUUAGAUGACUGUUUUGCUGCUAUGGCCAGUUGCAGCAAUAUCGAUAAUUCUUUUGAGUGUAUUAUAAUGAAUUCUGUUCAAGAAACUAAAAGUUCUUUUCCAGAAGUCCUUCUGCCCUUUUGUCAGUAAUGAAGCAACAGAUAAUCCACUGAUAACUGAAACUCGAAAUUUCUGAAACUUAACUGAUUGCUCCAGGCAUGAACAGGAAAAGAAAAAAAAAACAGAUGUUUGACAAAAUGUUUGAAAAGCACUAUAGAGGCGAAAGACAUAAAUCAAAAUUUUUGGUGCAUAUGUUGCUGGUCAGCUGAAGAUAGUGAAACGUCCUGAUCAGAAACUGUUAAGGAAUCCAAGAUUUGAUUUAGGAAUUUAAACAUCCAAAAUAAAAUUCUGUUGAACAUGAA
Molecule: long non-coding RNA, 1416 nt
Filed under: Stegodyphus dumicola
Lineage: Eukaryota; Metazoa; Arthropoda; Arachnida; Araneae; Eresidae
Description: uncharacterized LOC118205705, transcript variant X1
Source: RNAcentral